This 253-nucleotide ribosomal RNA is filed under the name uncultured bacterium. RNAcentral's name for it is "partial 16S ribosomal RNA". It matches the Rfam family "Bacterial small subunit ribosomal RNA", at positions 524 to 776 of the family's 1533-position model. The record is from RNAcentral.
AACGUAGGACACAAGCGUUAUCCGGAGUUAUUGGGCGUAAAGGGCGUUUAGGCGGGUGAUUAAGUUCGCUAUGAAAGCGCCAGGCUAAACCUGGCGAGGCUGGCGGAUACUGGUCAUCUGGAGUGAGUCAGAGGAAGGUAGAAUUCCGCGUGUAGUGGUGAAAUGCGCAGAUAUCAGGAGGAACACCAAUGGCGAAGGCAGCUCGCUGGGACGUGACUGACGCUGAGACGCGAAAGCGUGGGGAGCAAACAGG